CAGCCCCUGCAAUGUUGGUGAUGGCAACAGUUAUUUGAGCCAACAGUCUAUUUGACGGGAGUUCUUCUUGCUUUGCGGUGUGCGAGCUUUUCCCGAGGGAACUUGAUUGCCUGAAGCGGAGCAGAGGACACCCCCUUGGUAACAAGGUUCAAAUAGAUCUGCCACACGGCGGCGCGGGGGCAUU
RNAcentral lists this non-coding RNA (184 nucleotides) under Acidobacteriota bacterium. RNAcentral describes it as "Acidobacteria bacterium (anaerobic digester metagenome) 6S RNA". It matches the Rfam family "6S / SsrS RNA". Rfam says of the family: E. coli 6S RNA was the first non coding RNA to be sequenced, but its function was unknown until recently. It consists of 184 nucleotides that fold into an extended hairpin structure with a large single-stranded internal bulge. The record is from RNAcentral. Lineage: Bacteria; Pseudomonadati; Acidobacteriota.